Non-coding RNA from Pseudonaja textilis, 132 nucleotides. The record is from RefSeq and is a predicted model, not a curated record. Lineage: Eukaryota; Metazoa; Chordata; Lepidosauria; Squamata; Elapidae.
GGGUAGAGCAUUCCAGGCGUUGACCAUUCUGUUGCUGAAGUCAUAUUUUCUGCAAUCGAGUUUGAAGAGAUUAUUGUGUUGAUACAUCAUGUUUCUGGCUUUGAUUUGGCAUGUUGUAUGAAUCCAGCCUGA